RNAcentral lists this unclassified non-coding RNA (2721 nucleotides) under Pomacea canaliculata. RNAcentral describes it as "fK506-binding protein 2-like, transcript variant X1". Lineage: Eukaryota; Metazoa; Mollusca; Gastropoda; Architaenioglossa; Ampullariidae. The record is from RNAcentral.
AUGUUAGCUUAAGCUUACUCCAAGCGUCUGCAUUUGGUGUCAGUGAACGUGUCACCAGACUUCGAACUGAAAUAGUAUUGCUUUUACAUAAAUAUAUUUGUGUUUCUAGAAAGAAACCUAAAAUGGAUACUUCCGUUAAAGCGUUUCUCUUUUGUCUUCAUUUCAUUUUUAUGCUAAUUGCAGUUUCAGUUGGCAAAAAGGAAGCUGAUCUUAAAGUGACAUCAACGUUUAAACCAGAUGAAUGUUCGUCGCUAGCAGAAGAUGGUGAUGAGGUUGCAGUCCAUUACACAGGGUAUCUGGACUCUGGAACAGUAUUUGACUCCUCAGUAAAAGCUCAGCGAGAUCCACUUGUCUUCAAACUUGGAGAAAAACGAGUAAUUCCAGGUUGGGAAAUGGGUAUCAAGGGAAUGUGUGUAGGGGAAAAAAGAAAAUUGGUGAUACCACCUCAUCUAGCCUAUGGCAAGAAGGGAUUUCCCCCAGCAAUACCAGAACAGGCAACACUUACAUUUGAGACCGAGCUCAUCAGCCUACAAAAGAAGGCGUUCAAUCUUCCUAUAAUGAAAACCGUACAGCUCAUGGCAAUACCCCUAUUCAUUGUGUAUGUUGCCUACUACCUCUAUGACCGCUACAAGAAGGAAACAGCAGAAACAAAGGAGACAAAAAAGAGCAAGAAACGAAAGUAAUAGACUGGAAGGUUUCAAAACUAUUUGAGUUGAAAUCAUAUUCUUUGAAUUCAAAGAGUUUACUUCCUGAAGAUGACCCAGCUGUGGUGUGUAUCUGAUGCUCUAAAGAGUUAAGGAAGGCAGUGGGGAAGAGGAAAGGGACACUGCCCUAAGAUAAAUGAGGGCUUUAACUCCACAUUCUCCAGUAAGCCUUAUUACUUUUUUUUUUUUUUUUAAAUAAAAACUUUUUAUUUUACCGAGUUAUUGUACUUGCUGUUGCAUGGAGUGACCAAAUAAAAUUACCUGACGGUUAUAGUCGCAUGCAGAACCCAGAAUAUUCUUUUCAUGCAUCUUUUUCCAAGUGUUGCUGCACUUCUCUCACAUUUUUAAUUUUUGGAAUUGAAGCAGUGCAUUAUUGUUUUUAUCAAAGCACUUCUUGUUGGUGAAUAUCUUCCUUGGUAAUUUUGCAUUUGAAUUUGUUAGAUUUUGUGGGAAGAAUACCAGAUGUUUCCUGUUUACUUUUAGGCAUUCAUUAAAAAAACAAUUUAAGGAAACUUUUAAGAAAUUUAAUAAAAGGUAAAGGCAAAAGUCUGGUAACGUAGUUUGCUGUAGAGGCAGAAGACUGUUUGUUGUUCACUAUGUCUAAGACAAGGAAUGCAUAUGCUGAAUUUUGAUCCUCUAAUUUUUCAUCCCUUGCUGGUGUAAAGGGUUCCCUUCAUUUCUACUCCCUGAUAAUUUGUAUCUUUGUGUCAAUCUUUGCACAUCAUGUAGACAAUAUAUGUUUGGUCCUAGCCCUUUUGUGAUCAGAUAAAGGUUUUCUUUGAUGUUUUUCCUUAAUGUUUUUAUCACAGGGAAACCAUUGGUUGACUUUUUAAUUUGUGUGAAUCAUUUCCAUUUUUAAUGGGUAACUGGAUGUACAAAACAUAAGAUUGUUCAUUAGCUCAACAACAACUAAAAAAAUCCAAGCAUUUUGUCCUUGGAGAAUGCACAAAUAAGGCAUCCGGCAAUCAGAACCUAAACAUUUAGAAUCACUAGCAGAUCAGCAGUCAUGUGUUUAUCUUGAACUGUUGUGUUUUUUCUCCCAUAAUAAGUGUGAUUCUCUGAAUGCUGUGAAAUAUUAAGAAAGUUUGCUUGCAUAGCACCUUACUCCUGCCCUGGGUAAGCUCAAGGCACUUCACACAAAAAAAGUUAUGCCACAGUCUUGUUCACAGAUUUCUUCAAGGGCACAGUACUGACUGGUCUCAAUACAAUGGAAACAUUUAUUACCACCAAAUAUAUUUUAUAUGCAGAUUUGAAUAGAUAACCAGAGUUAAACUGAAGGGGAGAUAGAUGACACUGUUUACAGGUUUAAAAAUAAUCUGCAUACUUUUGUUAAUUUUAUUACUGUCCCCCUCCUUGGUCAUCAAAAAAGAUGUAGUACUUUACUACUCCUAAAAUGACAUGGCAGCUCAUUGCAGUAUUUUUUUCAUGCUGUGUUUAAAGAAGAGAUUUAAAAAGGAUUCUCAUGUGAUAAAACCUUUCACUCAAAACUUGCUGUUUUGUCACCUUUUUCAUUCAAGAGCUUACUAAUUAUAUGGAAUGACAGCUCAGCCAGAUGGUUUUUUUUUCUUUCUGUGCAUAUGUAUGUCUGUUGAGAAUAGGAGAGCCAGCUUUUUAAUAUCAAUUAAUGCAUACUGUUUUAUGAGAUGUUGGGUCCACCAUAAUUUAAAUGUGGUAUUAGUUGUGUAACCCACUUCUGGAAAUACAGAGUUAUGUGUCGGUUUUAGCAAGAAAGAGUGUACAGUUCUUUCUGUCAACAUAGAAAAUACAACAAGUUAAUUCUGUCCAUCUUGUUUUUAUGGAGAUUAGAAUGCCUAUUUGUGCUUGCAUACGAAAGAGAUGUUUCCAUGGUGCCUUUAUUAAUUAUAAAUUUGAUCUUAAUGGUUGCAAGAUGGGUAUCUCAUCACUUGUGUCAUUAAAUGUGACUGGUAGCUGGGGAUAAUUUUUUAAUUAAAAUUGUUGAUGUAGAAAUGUUGCAAAACUUUCUGACAUUUAAGUGAUUAAAAGUGUUAUUUUUAUA